GAUGAACGCUGGCGGCGUGCCUAAUACAUGCAAGUCGAGCGAACAGACGAGGAGCUUGCUCCUCUGACGUUAGCGGCGGGCGGGUGAGUAACACGUGGAUAACCUACCUAUAAGACUGGGAUAACUUCGGGAAACCGGAGCUAAUACCGGAUAAUAUAUUGAACCGCAUGGUUCAAUAGUGAAAGACGGUUUUGCUGUCACUUAUAGAUGGAUCCGCGCCGCAUUAGCUAGUUGGUAAGGUAACGGCUUACCAAGGCAACGAUGCGUAGCCGACCUGAGAGGGGGAUCGGCCACACUGGAACUGAGACACGGUCCAGACUCCUACGGGAGGCAGCAGUGGGGAAUCUUCCGCAAUGGGCGAAAGCUUGACGGAGCAACGCCGCGUGAGUGAUGAAGGUCUUCGGAUCGUAAAACUCUGUUAUUAGGGAAGAACAAAUGUGUAAGUAACUAUGCACGUCUUGACGGUACCUAAUCAGAAAGCCACGGCUAACUACGU
This 496-nucleotide ribosomal RNA is filed under the name uncultured bacterium. RNAcentral's name for it is "partial 16S ribosomal RNA". It matches the Rfam family "Bacterial small subunit ribosomal RNA", at positions 28 to 506 of the family's 1533-position model. The record is from RNAcentral.